This 301-nucleotide ribosomal RNA is filed under the name uncultured soil bacterium. Its description in RNAcentral is "bacterial SSU rRNA". It matches the Rfam family "Bacterial small subunit ribosomal RNA", at positions 26 to 337 of the family's 1533-position model. The record is from RNAcentral.
AGGACGAACGCUGGCGGCGUGCUUAACACAUGCAAGUGGAGCGACGAACCAGGGCUUGCCCUGGGGCAGAGCCGCGAACGGGUGAGUAACACGUGGGUUACCUGCCCCGAUGACCGGGACAACCCGAGGAAACUCGGGCUAAUACCGGAUGUGGUCUUCGGACGAAAGGAGCUUCGGCCUCCGCAUCGGGAUGGGCCCGCGGCGCAUUAGCUUGUGGUGGGGUAACGCCCACCAAGGCUACGAUGCGUAGCUGGUCUGAGAGGACGAUCAGCCACACUGGGACUGAGACACGGCCCAGACU